Molecule: long non-coding RNA, 2719 nt
Filed under: Lupinus angustifolius (narrow-leaved blue lupine)
Lineage: Eukaryota; Viridiplantae; Streptophyta; Magnoliopsida; Fabales; Fabaceae
Description: long non-coding RNA (LANG_LNC000930)
Source: RNAcentral
GAGGCCCCCACCACCAUUGAGGUUUGUGGAGGGUUGAUAUGCUGCCUUACCCUAAUAAUAAUAACUAUUAUUACUUAAAUGUUACAUAAAUGUUAUUGGAAAUUCUGGCAUAUGUUCUCAUUGUUCUUGGUAAAUAUUAGGAUUAGUUUUGUAUUUGACUUUGAGGAUGCUAUUUUUAAUAAAUGAUAUAUGUAUGAUACAUUAAGCUCAUUUCAAAAUGGGGUUGUUUACUUGGAUGAAUAACUUCCAUGACAUUCCUCUUUUUAAGCCUUGUGGCUUAUAUUCUCUUCAUUUCUACUGAGGAAAUGUGAACUUGUUUAUGCUCGUAUUAUUUAUAAUUUUCGUCAGGAUAUAUAUUUCUUCUCAUUUACUCAAUAGUAGUCUCUAUUUUUUUCUCCUACCUGUGUUUGAGCCAUAUCAACUGUUUACUUGUUAAUAUGUUAUUAAAAAAAAUUCUGAUCCUUAAGAAAACAAUAUUUUGUAUAAGGCUAGUUCAUUUAUUGUUGAACAUGUUUGAUUCAAUUAUUUGUGAAUGCAAGAGUGAGUGUGAAUUUAUAUUCAGAAGCAUCUCUUUUUGCUAGUUAAAGAAACUACAGAAUGAUUUCUUCAUGUACUUCUCGCAUAUAUUGUAGGUAGAUCGAGGAGUUGUUCAUACUCUAUUUAUCCACUUACUAUUUGCUUAAGGAUGCUUUCAAAUUUCAAAUGCAGGUUGAUGAAGAUGAGAUUUACUGGAGACAUAGAAAGGAAAGAUGGAGUUGGAAUGCUCCCACUCGCAUAAUAUCUCACUUAGCUCAAUGUUUUCGUGAGUACAUUUUUCUCUUCAAGCUUCUUUGCAUUAUUGUAAGUUUCGUCUUAGUUGAUUUUUGCUUUGAGUGAACGAGAAAAUGCAACUGUUCGAGCCAAAUACUUAAAAUAGCAGAUUUUCAUGCUUACAUUAGGGCAUUUUCCGUUUAAUUGUGGUGAAACUUAUCAAUGAGGACUGAGUUGGGAGGUAGCACUCUGGCCGUUUAAUUUUGGGAGAAUCUUUUUGUAAUUUCAAGCCUAUGUAUGAUAAUGAAGUUUCCUUUCUAUUUAACUUUAUUUUUUUGGGUAAGCCUAUGAGCAUUGAGAAGUGUGAGGGUUUGAUCAUGUUGUUUGGGCCUAUCAAAUGGAGAAAAACAUGUUUUUGUUUGUUCGUCCUAUCCAGGAUUCAUUUCUUGCCAGACAAUAGUUGAAAAGACUUAUCAUUUGUUUCAAGCGGUGCAGCUAUUUAAUUAUAGUAAUUAAUAAGAAACCGUAAUCUGCAAUUAUGCAUCCUAGUAUGUGUCUCACUGUUAUCACAGACUCAGUGAACAUGUUUCACGUUUAUUCAGGAAGAGAAACUUCAAAGGCUUCAAGAACAGCUGCAAGUACCUUAUGAUGAGACUAGCUCUGAUCAUCAAGUACUUAUUUUUUUCAUGCAGCUAUCUAGCUUUCUUAUUUAUUUAAUUUCUCUGAAUUCUUCCUCAGGACGCGUUUAGAAAAUUCAAUUCAUGAGUAGAGUAGAAUUCUUCCCAUUCAGAUUGUUUUAAGCUGGUAAUCAAAAUUACUUUCAAAAUUCUAGAAUUUUCCUGAGGCAUUUUCUUUUGUUUAGGGCGAUAAUGAUAUUUUCCUUAAACUAUGAUGAUGUUGGAAAGUUCUUUCAUUUAUGGUUGCAAUUUCUGUUUUUGGUAUGGUUAAUGACGUUCUUCACUUGAUUUUUACAAAGGUUUAAGCUCGAGAGAAAGAGAGGCAGAAAGAUAUGAUUUCUUUAUGCCAUUUCCGACCCUUUGUUAGUGAAAUGUCUCUCUUCUCUCUAGUUUUUCAUUCUUUGAAGUUAUUUAUAAUUCAUUUAUUAGACAGGAGUGGUAACUAUCAAAUUAUCCCAAAACCCUAAAAACCAAUUUUAUCAAGAUCACUUGGUUGCUUUUGUUAACCAUGUUAUUUCACUUGGUUUUUUCAAUGGUUGAAACUCUAGAUAGAGACAUAGAGGGAAAGUGAUUUCUUUAUGUCUUUCCCCCACCCUUUAUCACUGACACAUCUGCCUUCUUUCUUUCCCUGCAUUUUCAAUCUUUGUAUUUCUUUAUAAUUGAUGUAAGUAAAAAUGUUGUAUUUUUUGAGCCUAGAAAGACUAUCCCAAAAUCCCAAAAGUAUAUUGUGGCAACUAUUUCAUUCAUUUGUGUCGGUAAUGACAUUUUCCUAAUCCCAAUCUUGUUUAUUCAAGAAUGUUUGAUCUCGAUGAACUGAGAUUUUCAUUGGCUUUAUAAACCCAAGAGUUUGAUAUGGGCUGCGAAAACUGCAUAGUCCUUGCAAUAUGAAUUCUAGUUGCCUAUAAUUUGUAAAUCAGGAAGAGGCCCCGAUUUGUCGGAUCAAUAUGAAAUUCUUUAUUCACAAUGUAACAUCAGGAUGCUAGAAAAAUAAAGUUGAGCCUUUAGUUUCUUUAUGGUUACAUUAUCAUUGUUGAUUAGUGGAUGGGGUCUAAUAUAAUAUUGAACUAUCAUUUUCAGUGGAAAGUGACACGUUGAGAACUGUUAGGUUGGGAUUAGACUAUUUGUUUUCAAGUUGAGUUUGGAGUCCCCAUGCAUAAUGCCCCUUCCUUGAUUGUUCUAUUAUAUUAUCAUUAUGCGAUUUUUUAGGUGAUAAAUUAAAGAAACACAUUUUUAAAUAUAUAUUUUCUUUUGUUUUAUGUUAAAUAAAUAUAAAUGUAAAGAUGAAAAGAUAU